RNAcentral lists this ribosomal RNA (433 nucleotides) under uncultured bacterium. Its description in RNAcentral is "partial 16S ribosomal RNA". It matches the Rfam family "Bacterial small subunit ribosomal RNA", at positions 29 to 507 of the family's 1533-position model. The record is from RNAcentral.
AGCGAACGCUGGCGGCAGGCUUAACACAUGCAAGUCGAGCGGACCUUUCGGGGUCAGCGGCGGACGGGUGAGUAACGCGUGGGAACGUGCCUUCCGGUUCGGAAUAACCCUGGGAAACUAGGGCUAAUACCGGAUACGCCCUUAUGGGGAAAGGUUUACUGCCGGAAGAUCGGCCCGCGUCUGAUUAGCUAGUUGGUGGGGUAACGGCCUACCAAGGCGACGAUCAGUAGCUGGUCUGAGAGGAUGAUCAGCCACACUGGGACUGAGACACGGCCCAGACUCCUACGGGAGGCAGCAGUGGGGAAUAUUGGACAAUGGGCGCAAGCCUGAUCCAGCCAUGCCGCGUGAGUGAUGAAGGCCUUAGGGUUGUAAAGCUCUUUUAUCCGGGACGAUAAUGACGGUACCGGAGGAAUAAGCCCCGGCUAACUUCGCG